This 497-nucleotide ribosomal RNA is filed under the name uncultured bacterium. Its description in RNAcentral is "partial 16S ribosomal RNA". It matches the Rfam family "Bacterial small subunit ribosomal RNA", at positions 28 to 507 of the family's 1533-position model. The record is from RNAcentral.
GAUGAACGCUGGCGGCGUGCCUAAUACAUGCAAGUCGAGCGAACAGACGAGGAGCUUGCUCCUCUGACGUUAGCGGCGGACGGGUGAGUAACACGUGGAUAACCUACCUAUAAGACUGGGAUAACUUCGGGAAACCGGAGCUAAUACCGGAUAAUAUAUUGAACCGCAUGGUUCAAUAGUGAAAGACGGUUUUGCUGUCACUUAUAGAUGGAUCCGCGCCGCAUUAGCUAGUUGGUAAGGUAACGGCUUACCAAGGCAACGAUGCGUAGCCGACCUGAGAGGAGGAGCAGUCACAAGGGAACUGAGACAAGGGCAAGACUAGGACGGGAGGCAGCAGGGGGGAAUAUUGGACAAUGGGCGAAAGCGUGAGCAAGAAAUGACGCGUGUGUGAAGAAGGUCUUCGGAUUUUAAAGCACUUUAAGUUGGGAGGAAGGGCAGUAAGUGAAUACCUUGCUGUUUUGAAGUUACAAAAAGAAUAAGCACCGGCUAACUUCGUG